RNAcentral lists this ribosomal RNA (459 nucleotides) under uncultured bacterium. Its description in RNAcentral is "partial 16S ribosomal RNA". It matches the Rfam family "Bacterial small subunit ribosomal RNA", at positions 338 to 795 of the family's 1533-position model. The record is from RNAcentral.
CCUACGGGUGGCUGCAGUGAGGAAUAUUGGUCAAUGGGCGAGAGCCUGAACCAGCCAAGUCGCGUGAAGGAUGAAGGAUCUAUGGUUUGUAAACUUCUUUUAUAUGGGAAUAAAGUGAGGAACGUGUUCCUUUUUGUAUGUACCAUAUGAAUAAGCAUCGGCUAACUCCGUGCCAGCAGCCGCGGUAAUACGGAGGAUGCGAGCGUUAUCCGGAUUUAUUGGGUUUAAAGGGUGCGUAGGCGGGUUAUCAAGUCAGCGGUAAAAUCGUGGAGCUCAACUCCAUCCAGCCGUUGAAACUGAUGAUCUUGAGUGGGCGAGAAGUAUGCGGAAUGCGUGGUGUAGCGGUGAAAUGCAGAGAUAUCACGCAGAACUCCGAUUGCGAAGGCAGCAUACCGGCGCCCGACUGACGCUGAAGCACGAAAGCGUGGGUAUCGAACAGGAUUAGAUACCCGUGUAGUC